AAGUGGGGAAUUUUGNCACAAUGGGCGCAGGCCUGAUCCAGCCAUGCCGCGUGUCUGAAGAAGGCCUUCGGGUUGUAAAGGACUUUUGUCAGGGAAGAAAAGGCUGUUGCUAAUAUCAGCGGCUGAUGACGGUACCUGAAGAAUAAGCACCGGCUAACUACGUGCCAGCAGCCGCGGUAAUACGUAGGGUGCGAGCGUUAAUCGGAAUUACUGGGCGUAAAGCGAGCGCAGACGGUUACUUAAGCAGGAUGUGAAAUCCCCGGGCUCAACCUGGGAACUGCGUUCUGAACUGGGUGACUAGAGUGUGUCAGAGGGAGGUAGAAUUCCACGUGUAGCAGUGAAAUGCGUAGAGAUGUGGAGGAAUACCGAUGGCGAAGGCAGCCUCCUGGGAUAACACUGGCGUUCAUGCUCGAAAGCGUGGGUAGCAAACAGGAUUAGAUACCCUGGUAGUCCACGCCCUAAACGAUGUCAAUUAGCUGUUGGGCAACUUGAUUGUUCAGUAGCGUAGCUAACGCGUGAAAUUGACCGCCUGGGGAGUACGGUCGCAAGAUUA
Molecule: ribosomal RNA, 553 nt
Filed under: uncultured bacterium
Lineage: Bacteria
Description: bacterial SSU rRNA
Rfam family: Bacterial small subunit ribosomal RNA
Source: RNAcentral